CAGCAGCAGCCACGGGAACACGAAGGGUGCAAGCGUUACUCGGAAUUACUGGGCGUAAAGCGUGCGUAGGUGGUGGUUUAAGUCCGUUGUGAAAGCCCUGGGCUCAACCUGGGAAUUGCAGUGGAUACUGGGUCACUAGAGUGUGGUAGAGGAUAGUGGAAUUUCCGGUGUAGCAGUGAAAUGCGUAGAGAUCGGAAGGAACAUCUGUGGCGAAGGCGACUAUCUGGGCCAACACUGACACUGAGGCACGAAAGCGUGGGGAGCAAACAGGAUUAGAGACCCCCGUAGUCCCUGUCUCUUAUAC
This 304-nucleotide ribosomal RNA is filed under the name uncultured bacterium. Its description in RNAcentral is "partial 16S ribosomal RNA". It matches the Rfam family "Bacterial small subunit ribosomal RNA", at positions 506 to 807 of the family's 1533-position model. The record is from RNAcentral.